UACGAGGGGAGCUAGCGUUGUUCGGCAUUACUGGGCGUACAGGGCGCGUAGGCGGCUUGGCAAGUUGGGUGUGAAAGCCCAGGGCUCAACCCUGGAAUUGCACUCAAGACUGCCUUGCUUGAAUUCAGUAGAGGUUGGUGGAAUUCCCAGUGUAGAGGUGAAAUUCGUAGAGAUUGGGAAGAACACCCGUGGCGAAGGCGGCCAACUGGACCGACAUUGACGCUGAGGCGCGAAAGCGUGGGGAUCAAACAGG
Molecule: ribosomal RNA, 253 nt
Filed under: uncultured bacterium
Lineage: Bacteria
Description: partial 16S ribosomal RNA
Rfam family: Bacterial small subunit ribosomal RNA
Source: RNAcentral